This 301-nucleotide ribosomal RNA is filed under the name uncultured bacterium. RNAcentral describes it as "partial 16S ribosomal RNA". It matches the Rfam family "Bacterial small subunit ribosomal RNA", at positions 509 to 809 of the family's 1533-position model. The record is from RNAcentral.
CAGUAGCCGCGGUAAUACGAAGGGGGCUAGCGUUGUUCGGAUUUACCGGGCGUAAAGGGCGCGUAGGCGGACUGAUAAGUCAGGGGUGAAAUCCCAAGGCUCAACCUUGGAACUGCCUUUGAUACUGUUUGUCUUGAGUUCGAGAGAGGUAAGUGGAACUGCGAGUGUAGAGGUGAAAUUCGUAGAUAUUCGCAAGAACACCAGUGGCGAAGGCGGCUUACUGGCUCGAAACUGACGCUGAGGCGCGAAAGCGUGGGGAGCAAACAGGAUUAGAUACCCCUGUAGUCCCUGUCUCUUAUAU